Molecule: unclassified non-coding RNA, 298 nt
Organism: Callithrix jacchus (white-tufted-ear marmoset)
Lineage: Eukaryota; Metazoa; Chordata; Mammalia; Primates; Cebidae
Rfam family: Metazoan signal recognition particle RNA
About the family: The signal recognition particle (SRP) is a universally conserved ribonucleoprotein. It is involved in the co-translational targeting of proteins to membranes.
Source: Ensembl
GCCAGGCAUGGUGGUAUGUGCCUGUACUCCUUGCUACUCAGGAGGCUGAGACAGGAGGAUCACUUGAGACCAGGAGGUUAAGGUUGCAGUGAGCCAUGAUUGUGCUACUGUGCUCAGGUGUCCAUACUAGGUUUGGCAUCAAAUGGUGACCUCCCAGGAGCAGGGGACCGCCAGGUUGCCUAAGGAGGGGUGAACCGGCCCAGGUCAGAAACGGAGCAGGUCAAAACUCCUGUGCUGAUCAGAGCCUGUGAAUAUCCACUACACUCUAGCCUGGGCAACAUAGUGAGACCUGUCUCUA